This 3387-nucleotide long non-coding RNA is filed under the name Sus scrofa (pig). RNAcentral describes it as "lncRNA (ENSSSCG00000061898.1)". Lineage: Eukaryota; Metazoa; Chordata; Mammalia; Artiodactyla; Suidae. The record is from RNAcentral.
UUUUUUUUUUUUUUUUUUUUUUUUGCAUGAUAUUGUUAAUCUUCCCUGGAACAAAGAAAGGAAAAUAGUCAUGGCCAAGGACAUGAAUUAGGUCAUGGCAGAGAAUUCUUAUUUCCCAUGCAUAGCACCAGUGAAUGGUUCGUUCCAGCCUAUUAAUUAUUUAAAUAGUUAUUAUCUAUGUUUGUCCUUCUUGCUUGAUGUGAAAACUGCUGAUCUAAGCUUAUCUGCAUAACAUCUUGUAGCAAUACAAAGAGUGUGUAUGGGAUCUUUUUUAGUGGAGAAGAAAGAGGAGGGUGAAUGUUACUAUGAAUCAGGCAGCAUGUCAGUCAUUUUCACAUACAUUACCCCAUUUAAUUAUGAUAACAAACUUGAAAAAUAGGUAUAUUAACUUCUAUUUAUAAAUGAAACAACCUAGAUUAAUAAAUCCGGGGCUCAGGAUAUGAUCCCAGUGUUUGAUUCCAGACCCUAGAAUGUAUAUUUAGGCCCUGUAUUUUUUUCCAUGAUGCUAUUCAGAAAGUGCUUUAUAUGUCAUAUCUCAUAUUUCUCUACAUGCCUAUGAAGUAAGCAAGGAUUAAAUGAUAUGAUGCUGAUUUUACAGAUUGAACAUUUGCAAAACUAAGCAGGAGAGCCAGUUUAGGGAAUCCAAUGAGUCAAUGGAUUUUCCCCAAAGAAAAAUAUAUGCGAUUUGAAAAGCUGUUUUACACCAUGCCUUAUUGUGGUAGGCUGAAAAAACACUGUUCUCCCCCAACAAGGUAAACUUACUUCCUAAUCCCUGGAAUGUUUGACUAUUACUUUAUUGGGCAAAAGAUUGAAUAUUACCUUAGGUGGGAAAUGAUGUGAUUAAGUUAGGGAUAUUGAGAGGCAAGAGUUUAUCCUGAAUUACCUGGGUAAAUACUAAGUGUAAUCACAUGUAUCCUCAUAAAAGAGAAGCAAAGGGAAAAUGAGACAGAAUGUAGAAGAUACAUACACAUAGAGAAGUGAUUUGAAGUUGGACCAGAGAGGGAUGCUGCUAUGAGCCAAGGAAUGCUGACACUACCAGAAACUGGAAGACACAAGGAAUAAGUUCUAUGCUAGAGCCUCCAAAGGGAGCUGAGCCAUGCUGACACUUUGAUUUCUGACUUCUGCCUGCAGAACUGUGAGGGAAUAAAUUUCUCUCUUUUUGUUUUUUUAAUUCUUUAAAAUUUUUAUAAUGAUUUUUAUUUUUCCAUUACAGCUGGUUUACAGUGUUCUGUCAAUUUUCUACUGCCCAGAAAGGUGACACGUACAUGUAUACAUUCUUUUUUUCUCACAUUAUCAUGCUCCAUCACAAGUGACCAGUGCCAUACAGCUCCAUCCCAGUGCUAUACAGCAGGAUCCCAUUGCUUAUCCAUUCCAAAAGCAAUAGUUUGCAUCUAUUAACCCCAAAUUCCCAGUCCAUUCCAUUCUCUCCUGCUCCCCCUUGGCAAUCACAAGUCGAUUCUCCUUGUCCAUGCCACAUACACAGCAUAUGGAAGUUCUCUGGCCAGGGAAUGAAUCUGAGCCACAACUUUGACCUGUGCCACAGGUGCAGCUACACCAGAUCCUUUAACCCACUGUGCCAUGCUGGGGAUUGAACCUGUACCUUCGCAGUGACUGGAGCUGCUGCAGUCAGGUUCUUAACCCACUGUGCCACAGUAGGAACUCCUAAGUUUCUGUAGUUUUAAUCCAUCAGAUUUGUGUUAGUUUUUUACAACAGUCAAAGGAAAUGAAUACAUCUGUUAUUCAUUAUUAAUUGGGAGGUAAUAUAUUCAAUAGGUACUUUUUCUAAAUACCUAGAUGACACUGGGAGGCAAAAUAUUAUGGUGUUUAUGCUUCUGAAAUCAUAAAGAUAUUAGUUUAAACUCAAACUCUAUUACUGAUGAUCUUAGGUAAUAUAUUUAUGCCUCUAAGUAUCACUUUUCUUAUUUAUAGAAUUGAGAAGUUGCUAGUAUCUACCAAAUAGAAUUGUUUGAAGAAUUAAAUGAGAUAAUACAAUAAUAACAUAUAGUACUUAGCACAACAUUUUCCACAUAAACAUUCAGCAAAUGUUAGCAAUAAGAAAAUAGUAAGAACCUAAGGGAUAUGCUGAAAAAUAUAAAAAGUGUUAAAUCAUCUUGCUCUUUGUUGUAAGUCUCAGAAAAAAGUUAUAGGAAAAGGCAUAAAAAGAAAAUUAGUAAGAAAUGACUUUUCUGAAAGCUUCAGUUUAUUUUGAGUUUGCUAAAUUAACAUUUACCCUGAAUAUAGAUGAAAAAAUCUUAAAUAAAAUACUAGCAAAUUCAAUCCAGAAAUGUGAAAAAAAAUGCACAUGAGAUUGUGGUGCUUCUUUCAGUAAUGCAAAGUUGGCUUUAUAUUAAAAAUUCAACAAAUGUAAUAUACCACUUUAAAAGAGUAAGAGAUAAAUUUAAAAUGAAUAUAUAAAAGGGAGCCUUAAAAUGAUCUCGGUAGAUACAGUAGAAAGACUGUUUGAUAAAACUUAACACCCUUCAUGAUAAAAUUCUUAGCAAAAACUAAAAAUAGAAGAAAUCUUCAAGCAGAUAAAUAGCACUUUUGCAUCUACAGAUAAUAUUGUACUUAAUCAUGAAAGAUUAAACCUUUAUUUCCUCUGAAAUUUGAAACAAGAAAAGGUUGUUUGCUCUAACCAUAUCUAUUCAGCAUUGUACUAGAAGUCCUAGCCAAUGCAAUAAGGCAAUUAAGAGAAAUGAAUAGCAUAAGUACUUAAAAGGAAGAAAUUAAAAUGUUGUUUGCAGAAAAAUAACUAUCUAAAGUGAAUAACUUUAACAGGCUUGCAGAAUACAAUGUCAAUAUGAGAAAAGGAUAUUUUUAUAUAACAAAUGAAAAAUUGGAGAACUUACACUAUUUAAAACUUGGAACUAAAGCAAGAGUAAUUAAGACAAUGUGGUAUUACAAUAAGGAGAGUUAGAGUUUAAAAACAACUUUACAUAUAAAUCGCUCAUUGAUUUUUUUUUUUGUUUGAUCAAGAUGCCAAGUCAGUUCAAUAGACAGAGAAAAUUCCUUUAACAAAUGUUGCUGGGGUAUCUGGAUAUCCAUGUAUUUGAAAGAGUCUCAAUCCCUCUUAAAUCAUAUCAAAAUUAAUUAAUUUGCAAUGAAUAAUAGACUUACAAAUAAAACCCAGACUCCUAAAGCUUCUAAAAGCCCAAGAGGGAGUUACUGCUGUGGUGCAACGGAAUUGGCAGUGUCUCCGCAGCACCAGGAUGCAGGUUUGAUCCCGGGAUCUGGUAUCCUGUGUCGCUACAGCAUGGCUCUGAAGUGCUGUGGAGAGGCUAAAAAAGAAAGGAAAAAAAAAAAAAACAACAACAAAAACAAGAGAAUAUCUUCAUAGUUUCAAGGUGGCACAAUCUUUUUUUUGAGAAAACAUCAAAGUAAUGAUAU